AUGGGGGGACCAUCCUCCAAGGCUAAAUACUCCCAACUGACCGAUAGUGAACCAGUACCGUGAGGGAAAGGCGAAAAGAACCCCGGCGAGGGGAGUGAAACAGAACCUGAAACCGUGUACGUACAAGCAGUAGGAGCGGACUUGUUCCGUGACUGCGUACCUUUUGUAUAAUGGGUCAGCGACUUAUAUUCUGUAGCAAGGUUAACCGUAUAGGGAAGCCGUAGGGAAACCGAGUCUUAACUGGGCGUUGAGUUGCAGGGUAUAGACCCGAAACCGGGCGAUCUAACCAUGAGCAGGUUGAAGAUUGAGUAACAUCAAUUGGAGGACCGAACCCACUAAUGUUGAAAAAUUAGGGGAUGACUUGUGGCUAGGAGUGAAAGGCUAAUCAAGCCCGGAGAUAGCUGGUUCUCCCCGAAAUCUAUUUAGGUAGAGCCUCGGACGAAUACCAUUGGGGGUAGAGCACUGUUUGGGCUAGGGGGUCAUCCCGACUUACCAACCCCAUGCAAACUCCGAAUACCAAUGAGUACUAUCCGGGAGACACACGGCGGGUGCUAACGUCCGUCGUGAAGAGGGAAACAACCCAGACCGCCAGCUAAGGUCCCGAAGUUAUGGCUCAGUGGGAAACGAUGUGGGAAGGCAGAGACAGCUAGGAGGUUGGCUUAGAAGCAGCCACCCUUUAAAGAAAGCGUAAUAGCUCACUAGUCGAGUCGGCCUGCGCGGAAGAUGUAACGGGGCUAAGCCAUACACCGAAGCUGCGGCUGCAUACUUAUGUAUGCGGGGUAGGGGAGCGUUCUGUAAGUGGGUGAAGGUGUGUUGAGAAGCACGCUGGACAUAUCAGAAGUGCGAAUGCUGACAUGAGUAACGAUAAUGGGAGUGAAAAACUCCCACGCCGGAAGACCAAGGUUUCCUAUCCCAUGCUAAUCAGGGUAGGGUAAGUCGGCCCCUAAGGCGAGGCGGAAACGCGUAGUCGAUGGAAAACAGGUUAAUAUUCCUGUACCG
RNAcentral lists this ribosomal RNA (999 nucleotides) under Idiomarina abyssalis. Its description in RNAcentral is "partial 23S ribosomal RNA". It matches the Rfam family "Bacterial large subunit ribosomal RNA", at positions 444 to 1446 of the family's 2925-position model. The record is from RNAcentral. Lineage: Bacteria; Pseudomonadati; Pseudomonadota; Gammaproteobacteria; Alteromonadales; Idiomarinaceae.